Neopelma chrysocephalum (saffron-crested tyrant-manakin) is the source of this 2853-nucleotide RNA transcript. It is a transcript of the gene named delta 4-desaturase, sphingolipid 2, with no coding region annotated. The transcript is spliced from 4 exons. The record is from RefSeq and is a predicted model, not a curated record. Lineage: Eukaryota; Metazoa; Chordata; Aves; Passeriformes; Pipridae.
CAGCGCAGCGCGGGGCGCAGCGGGAGCCAUGGGGAACCGCGUCACCCGUGAGGACUUCGAGUGGGUCUACACGGAGCAGCCUCAUACGCAGCGCAGGAAGGAGAUCCUGGCAAAGUAUCCAGAGAUCAAGACUCUGAUGGGACCUGAUCCACAUUUAAAGUGGAUUGUAUCUGGAAUGGUUUUCACGCAGCUUCUGGCAUGCUACCUGGUGAAAGACUUAUCUUGGAAAUGGAUUUUCUUCUGGGCUUAUGGUUUUGGGGGUUGCAUCAACCAUUCGCUGACCUUAGCCAUCCAUGAUAUUUCACACAACGUCGCCUUUGGGAACAAGCAGGCCAAGUGGAACCGAUGGUUCGCAGUCUUUGCCAACUUGCCGAUUGGUGCCCCUUACUCUGCCUCCUUCAAGAAAUACCACAUUGACCAUCACCGGUACCUGGGAGGGGACAGCUUGGAUGUGGACAUUCCCACGGACUUUGAAGGCUGGUUUUUCUGUACACCCCUUCGGAAACUGCUUUGGCUUUUCCUCCAACCUCUGUUCUACAGUCUGAGGCCACUGUAUGUGAACCCCAAAGCGAUUACACAGAUGGAAAUUUUCAAUGCUCUUGUACAGUUUUCUGUAGACCUUAUCAUUUACUACCUUUGGGGACUCAAACCUGUUAUUUAUUUAAUAGCAGGUACACUUCUUUGCUUGGGUGUACAUCCCAUUUCUGGGCACUUCAUAGCAGAACACUACAUGUUCUUAAAAGGGUAUGAGACAUACUCUUAUUAUGGACCUCUGAACUGGCUCACCUUUAAUGUAGGAUACCACAUGGAGCAUCAUGACUUCCCCAGCAUUCCUGGAUGCAGAUUGCCCAUGGUGAAGAAGAUUGCAGCGGAAUAUUAUGAUAACCUCCCACAUCACCAGUCCUGGAUUCGAGUUCUGUGGGACUUUGUUUUUGAUGACUCUAUUGGUCCUUACUCAAGGGUUAAGAGACGGUGCAAGCUGGCAAAGGAAAGCUAAUGGGCUGGUCCGCCUGUGGUAGUGGGGUGUGUUUUUCCACACUUGACUUCAGUUUUCACAUGACUUCAGUUUUCUGCGGAAAUAGGAGGAUCUCUGUGUGUGCUGAAUUAAUGUUGGUGCAUGCUGCUUAGACCAAGAGGAUGAGUGUGAUAAUUAAGCAAUUGAAUGCACUAUUUUAGACCACUGAUACUUUUUAAUAAAGGAUGUUUGUGUAUGUAAUCCUCAGAAACUAGGUUAGAUUGAAUUAUGAUUAGGUGAACCUUUGGUCUAGGCUUUGAAUUAACUUCCUGGGGCACACAUGCCCAAGCCUGAGUUUUGGCCUGGUCUGCAGUGGAGAAUGUUUGCUGUGUGUUACAUGUGAUCAUGUGCGUGUGUGUAGUUGAAGACUAGUUUCUCUUCAUGCCAGAUUAGAAGUGGAUGCUCUGCAUGCACAGGACUGUGGAAGCAGGGAGGACUGGCAUGCAAUAGUAAAUGAAACUCUCUGGAGAACACAAGGGUGCCUUUUGCUCAAUGUCUUGUCUAAUCUAAUAAUCUUCUGAUAAUUGCUAGUAACAGAGAUUUUGUAUAUGCAAUGAAAUAUGUUUAUAUUUUUGUAUAUUUGUAUCAUUAUUUUAGUAGCUGUUGUUUGAUCUUUAUUCCAGGGAUUUGUCUAAACCUUUUCUGAAUGCAUUUCCAUGAGGAUCUAAUACUCGCUGUAGCAAACUGACAGAUCUGAACUGUGGCAGGGAGAAAUCCUUCCUUUAGUCUUCCACCCGCUGCCCUGAGCAGCAGCAUGGAUGUGCCUCUGGAGGAACUGCCUGGUCCUUUCUCAUUCACCUUUUCAACUGUAUCCAUAACUUCAUGUUUCUCAUGCAUUUCCCCACUGUAAGUCCUUCUGGGAAUGGAGUUUCUAGUUUUAAUUGUUCCUUAUCAAGAUUGUUAGCACUCCUGAUCACCUUUCUUGAUCUCCUCUAUAUUAUACCCCUCUCUGUGCAUAGGAUUUAGGAAGGUGUGUCAGUGAAGAUGUAGAGAUGAUAUGGUGGUAUUUGUUCCUAACUGCUUUCAUAAUAAUGGUAAUUUUUUUCCUCUGUCAUUCAAGGGGCACUGACUUGGCAUUUGGGAAGCAUAUGAUACUCUAGCUAUAUAAAAUUGCCACUGAUUGUGUUAAGAGGAUGGAAUGUAGAGAUGGGGCUGCUUAUCUCCCUACAUCUCUUACUUGGUGCUAUUGACCUUCAUCUGUCAUUUCUGCCCACUGGAAGACACAAAUCUUCCUGCCUGUCCUCUCCAACAAUAAACUUGUGGCUAUCCUCAAUAAUUCCCUGUCAUCAAAAACCUUAAUCAGCAUACAUCUCUCCAAGCAGAACAAUAUCUUGGGAGUCAGGAAUUCAGAUGUUCAGAUGCCAUCUAGUAUCUUCUCAUCACCCUGGAAAGCUGGUGAAGUAUUUCUUUCCUUACUAAGUGGUUAAAAGAGAGAUCUGUAUAGGUGCUCUUGCCUUCUACCCCUCUAACAGUUUUUUUUUUCUUCUGGAAAUCCAUGCCUGUAACAAAGAAAAGGAUUAUUGUGCAGUCUCAUCAGUCUCUCAAAGUAUACAAUUAGACCUGGAAAGCCUGAUUUCCUCAAUAAACACAAUUUUGUUUCCUGCUCCAGAAGCACUGGAUCCAGUGAGCCAGUGUCCAUUCACUAGCCUGGCACACAGCCAAGCUAGCCUGCUGCAAUUUGGGUUCCCCCUCCUCCAUUUCCCCUUCCUCCAUUUUUCUCACCCAUCUGAUUUUGGCAAAUGGGUAAAAAAAUACCCAGAUAUGUUCAGCAGAGCAAGAUCCUUUGUAAUACAGGGCUGAAUACCAGUUAUUCAGAUAUGGCUUUGUGCUUUUGGAUA